CUGAAGAAACUGCCUCCACAAACACUCUUGGCUGGCGUUGCAGGGGCAUUCGACCUGACAGAGUUUGCAAAAUCUUGAUGAUUUUUGUAAUAUGGUAUGGAGAUUCGAGCUGGAAUUGGACAUGGAAGAGGUGAUGAGUAAGGUACUCCGUCGUCAUAUUCUGAUAAUGCUGCAGCGGCUCUACGAGAUCUUGAUCUGGGUUUGAUUUCAACUAUUUUUGGGCUUUCAUCAAAUUCAUAAGAUGCAAACAGCCUCUCACUGUGGAAUUCACUUUUUGUAUCAUCAAAUUUUUCCUGAAAAUGUUAAAAAAAGAAACCAAGUGAACCCAUUUCUUCAAUAAAAAGAUUGGACUUCAUACAAGUUUGCAAAACAGGAUCUUACAAUUGAUUUUCGUGGUCGGUUUUCAGGUUGAAAUCUAUUCUCCUUGUUUAUAGAACGACGAGCACGUUGGGAUCGAACAGAAGUUUGAGCUCUUAUAAGAGCUUGCAUACUGUGAAGAGUUGCAGCAGCCUGCUUUCGGACCAGAUAGCCUCUAACAAGUGCCUGCAUCUUCACCAAUCCUUUCAAUGCUCGAAGAGCUUUUCGAGCCUGCGAUUAACCAAAUAAACCCAUUAAGAAUAUUAAAGAGUCAAUUUACAGAACACCUUACAAACACAGCUUUCUCAUGGAGCAGUUCAUAGAGCAGAUGAAAAAGAAAAGACGAGUUGAAGUAGGACUUAGCAAUCAUCCCAAAACAGAGGGGACCAAAGAAAAAACAUUUGAAUCAGUGUUUCCAGCUUUUGAGAGAGUAAGAUUUAAGAAAAGUAACUAAAGCUAAAAGCUAAAUUUACUUUUCUCAGAAAAAAUGUAGUACUGACACUGUUUCAUUAAUUACCCUUGGUGUGUGUUUCCAGCUUUCACGAGUAGACAUAAAAGCAAUUUAUACAAUUUCCUCCACAAUGUUAUAAACAUUUUGUUACAAGGAAGAAAAAAAAACACACAAUUGUAAUAAAGCAGAGCAGAAACUGCAAAAAUCUAAAAAUACCCAGAUGAGAGUAUCAACUUUUGAACUUGAUCUGAAUCAUACCCAUGAAAAAAGAAAAUUAAAAAAAGCUGAAAAUUACUCUGUCAAAACCACCCACUUAUCAGUAAGAAAAUUUUUUAAAUAAAGCCCUACUUUUGCUUACCAAAAAGCCUCUGAAAACGGUUUGAACUUUGAUUGCAGCCCACUUCUCUGUCUCGCUACCAUACGUUGUCCCUCUGCCAUUGCUGGUCAGCCUCACUACCGCCAUCGCGGCCUGUGCUGCAGCCACUGCAUCGUCGGCCGCUGCAGCCGUCGCAGAUGCCACAGCUAUUGCGUGUUUGUUCUGAUCUCUUUCAGUCUCAGCAAUGUAGGAUCUGAGCCAGGCAGCAUCUUUCACCUGAAGGUUAUAACGAGGGAUCACACUGUUAUCCCUUCCUGAUUUGCCAAAACUCCAUCUUGUUUUCGCUCUCUUUUCGCUUGAAAUUGAACUUGAACUGUCACCACCAUUAUCUCUUCCUUUAUCUUUCUUCAUCCCCAACAAGCCUUUUAGCCACCUUGUAGCUUUACCCAUCUUGUCUAGAUCUCUCUCUCGUUCACUACAACUUGGAUAAUCUUAGAAAGACAAACAAUGCAUUAGAGCCCAGAAUGUGAAGCACUGAAUAAAUUAACAAUUAAACUAGAAAUUGAAGUAGCAUGAGAAAAAGUAAAAACCAAGCAAUUAAAUAAAUAAAUUAUCCAAUUCAAAAAACUAAAACAGCGCCGGAUUUUAUCUUUCUCCCUCUCUGCUAUUCCUUUAAAUCAAGCCGAAAUUAGCUGCACGAAUCGUGGAUUCUGAUUUAAAGCCUCGGAAGAAAUCGUCUAAUGUGCUUUUUGUAACCUGAUUUGAGAAGGAUUCAUUUACUGAGCCAUUAAUUCGGAUUAUUUCCCAUUUGAUUCAGAAUUUGGUAACGGCAAAUAAAAUUUGAUUUAAAUAGCUUGAAUUAAGGCGAGAAUGUUUGGUUUAUUGGUUUUUGUCUGGUAAUUGCUUUAUAUGGAAUUGUUACCCGCCAUUGGCUGAUUCAUAUGUUGGCUUUUCCAGUUUAAGCCAGCAGAGGUUGCGGCCAUCAUGAAAGAUUUUGAUGAACCUGGAUCCCUUGCACCAACAGGUUUGCACCUUGGUGGCACAAAGUACAUGGUGAUCCAAGAAGAGGCUGGAGCUGUGAUUGGCGGGCGUUUUACAAAAUUAGGAUCGGGCGAAUAUAAUUUUGAUAAUUUACGGUCGGCUAAAAUUUAUUUACCGAUUUGGAGUUCGCCUACCACGUGGCAGGUGAAAAGAGGACUUGGCGCUUUUUUGACAGACGCCAGACCUGGCCGCUUCUCAAAGAGGCGUCUGGCACGUGAGAAGCUUGUUUUCUUCUUUUUUUUUAAUUUUUUUAUUUUUAAUUAUUAAUAUAUUAUAAUUAAAUAUUUAUAUUAUAUUAAUUUAAUAAUUAAAUAUAUAUAAGAGUAUUAAAUUAAAUAAUUAAUAAAAAAAUUAAUUAAUUAAUUAAUAUGAAAAUUUAAAAUUAUAAAAAUUAAAUUUAUUUGUUAUUGUAUUUUUAUUUAAAAUUAUAAAAUAAAAUUAUACUGUAAUUUAAAUAAUUAAUAAAAAAUAAAUAAAUAAACUAAUUAAUAUGAAUAUUUAAAAUUAUAAAAAUUAAAUUUACUUUUUAUUAAAUUGUUAUUUAGAAUUAUAGAAUAAAAUUAUGUUGUGAUUAAAUAUUAUAUGUGAUCACCUAAUUAUUUAUAAUUUAUCAAAAAUAAUAAAUUUAAUUAAAUAUUUUAAUAGCAAAAUAAUAUAAUAAUUUUAAAUAUUUUAUAUAAAUUGUUUAUAAUUUAUUAAAAAAAUAAAUAAAUUAAGUAAUUAAUUCAAUUAAAUAAUUUUGUAUAAAUUUAAUAGCAGAUUAAUAUUAUAAUUCUAAAUAUUUUUAUGUGCAUUUCUUUAUUAUUAAGUUUUAUAAUAUUUUUAUAUAUUAAAAAUAUUUUUAUAAAAUAUAAUAACUGAUGACCGCUGGAUUUCUUCACCCCAGAACAGGGGCGUGACCGCAGCCAAAGGCCCAUGAUACAGAGGCCCACGCACUUGAUACCCCCCAACAAGCCUGGCUCAUUCCAGCUUCCGGGCCGGGCUCGACCAAGCUUCCUCACUCAGUCCAGUCUGAUCCCUGACCAGCAGACCCCUCUCAGGCCCAGCGUCCAGCCCAACUCUCGGCCCAGCCCGGGGUCCAGAACAGUACUCACCAGACAGCCUGGCAGAUCCGCUCGAACGUACGCAUGAGGAGAAUCAGAGGCCGUUACGCAUGUAACAGGCAGCUGAUACCCUAGUACACCCGAAUCUGUAUGGCAGAGACGCGUGGCCCAAUCCUGGAGAGACCUUUACACGUCACCAGCAAGCAAGACAAUGUAUAAAAGAGGAGUCCCCUCCUCAGAAUGUUUUAAGCUUUAUUAUUCAAUACAAAAACCCUAUUCUAUUGGAUCUCAGAUCAUCAAUAACUAUUUAUAACUGAUUUUAGUACUUUGCAGAGUUAUAAAAUAAUAUUAAAUGUGUACGAAAUUACCGGUACUAUUUAAUUACAGAAUUACUGUAUUAAUCUAUUAAAAUAAUAAAAAAUUUUAUUAUUGGAUAAAUGUAUAUUAUAAAAAAUUUAAUAAAGUGAUCUUGUAUACGAUAAUAUUAUAUUAUAAAUAUUAUUUAUGUGCAGUCUUUUAUUAUUAAACUCUUAUAUAUUAAAAAUAUUUUUAUAAAAUAUAAUAACUAUUUUUAAUUUGCCUUGAUACUUUAGAGAGUUAUUAAAUAAUAUUAUUAUGUGAUUAAAUGUAUAUAAGAUUACUCAUACUAUUUAAUCAUAGUAUUAAUACAUUAAUUUAUUAAAAUAAUAAAAAAAUUUAUCACUAUAUAAAUAUAUAUUAUACGAUAAAUUAUUUUUAUACUUUCAAUCACAAUCGAAUUAUUUUUAUACAUCUAAUUACAAUAAAAUUAAACUUUAAAAUUAUAUAAUAUCAGUAAUUUUUUAUUUAAAAAUUAAUAAUAAAAUCUAUUAAAUAUUACAACAUUAAAAUUAUUAAAAAAAAUUAUUAUUAUAAAAAUAUAAUAUUUUUAAAUUAAUAUAAUAUAAAUAUUUAAUUAUAAUAUAUUAAUAAUUAAAAAUAAAAAACUAAAUUGUGGCCUGGAGUGGCGCCAGGCCACAAUGUAAAAAAACAAAAAAACAAAUCUCGUGGCGCCUCUUUGAAAGGCGGUCGGGCUUGGCGCUAGGUCCUCUUUUCGCCUGCCAAGUGACAGGCGAACCCCAAAUCGGUAAAUAAGUUUUAGCCGACUCCAAAUCGGCAAAAUUAUAUUCACCCGACCCUAAUUUUGCAAAAAACCCGUGAUUCGCGGAAAGAAGGUGUUUAAUUGUUUCGAUAAUUGGGUUUCUUAUUUAUUCUCAUUGUUAUAUUGAUCUAUAUUUAGUCUGAAUUAUGUGGCAGUUGUUAAAUUUUAGGCUUUUAUAUUAUGCUACAAUUUAGUGCAUAACACGAUAUCACAUUUACUUUAUGAAGAGCUCAAAAUCGCAGAAUACAUUGUGAAUACAGACGUUGUCUGCAGAUGAAAUUCCAUAUUCUUCAUACGUUAACAAUCAUUUUACAGGGUUCCGGUGGCGUCACUGUGAAGAAAACGAACCAAGCUCUCAUUUUUGGUAUUUAUGAUGAACCAAUGACAGCAGGACAGUGCAACAUGGUUGUAGAGAGGCUGGGUGAUUACCUCCUUGAUCAAGGCCUGUAGGCUCUUAAUUCUUCGACUUAGCUUCAUGGUUGUCAAAUGCUGAUUUCUGGUUUGGGCUUGCAGCUGGCCAUGAACUGGCAUUAAUGAUUUUGCUGGGAAAUAACGUUGUGAGGACAAAACAGUGAUUUUUUCCCCCUACUUUUGUUGUUGAUUGUGUAGGUCCAUUGCCUUUUUCUUUUCAACUCCAGCUAUGCUUUCUUAAUUUAUGUGUAUUCAUGCUCCGGUCUAUUAAUUAAGUUUGCGUAUUUCAAGUUUGAACGUUUUGGAUUUAUUUUAUAAUACAUAAUACAAAGAUUUUCUAUAUGGGAUUUGAUACUGGUACAUUUUUUGAUUUUCUUGGAAUACAUUUACGUUUCUGUACAAAGCUUGGUGGUGAGAAAAUGCGUAUUCUGAUAACAGCCAAAGCGAACAGUCCAUGCUGUUCUUGAUGCAUCAUAACAAGCCAGCAAGUUUCCAUUUGCUAUGAUUUCUACCAUUUUCUGUUGAUGCAAAUCAUACUUGCUUUAACGUGGAAAAGAAAAAUGGUGUCUAUGGGUUCAUGAAGUGUCAUGAAGUUCCCCUUUGCACGCAGUACUUUUCUUGUUCUCGAUGUGUUCAUGAAGUGUUUUUUUCCUUUUUUUUUUUUUGCUUAAAUGGGAAGAGUAGGCCCAAUGCGCAAGUACAAAAAUCCAAAUACAAAUAGCUAGCAUUCCUAGCUCUAACAAAAGGCCAAUGCCCAACACAGCAUAAAACUCUAGCUAAAUCAGUAAAUUCUAAUCGGGAAUUCAAAUUCAAAAUCCUAUUGUAAAUAUGAUUUUGGUUUUAUUAAGUUAAUUUUUAAUUAUUAUAAAAAAUUAAGUAAAUAUAAAUAUAAUACUUAAUAAGUUCUAGCAUUAUAAUUAUCUUAUAUUAUGAUAGAAAUUAUAGAGUAAUUGGAUUAAUUAGUUAGUUUUAAUUACUUAUUGUAAAUAAUAAAUAGAACCAUUAUGAUUUUUUUUCAUCCGAAUGCUUUUUAUUAUUUUUAUAUAUUACUACAAGUCUGUAAAGUAUAGAUAUUUUAUUUAAUUCUUUUAAAUAUGCAAUAAUAAAUAUUAUAUUAAUAUUUAAUAAUUAUAAAUAUAAUUAUAUGAACACAAAUGCAAGCUACAUUCUCCAUUUUCAAGGCCAUUACCUUUUUCAAAACCUUUUUGUUUUUUCACAACUUGCUAAGAAAAAUUAUUAUUGUUUGAUGUGUUCAAAGAAAAAUAAUUUUUUCAAUUCUAAGUUAGUUUUUCUUUUUAAUUUUUUAUUUAAUCUAUAACAAUGUUUUAUUUAAUUAAUAAAAAAAAUAUCAUUUUUUUUAAAAAAGUAUUUAACUGAAAAAUAUAAUUUUCUAUACUAAACAAUGUUAUAAUACUAAAAGGUAAGAGUUUUUAUUUGUUUAAAGUUUACCAUUUUUAUAUUUUAAUAUAUUAAAAUAAUUAUAAAAUAUUGAAUCCAUUUAAAAUAUUACAUUUUUUGCCCUAGCAUUUGGGCCGAACUCUCAAAAUUGUAUUUAUCUAUAGUUAUCGGCCCAGUGCGCGGUGGCAAGGGUAUUUAAGUCACUGCGCAAAAGGGUGCAGUGCGGUGCAGCGCCAUAAAAACCCUAGCGUUCGGUAACAGCGGCUGUCUUCUUCUAUAUAAGACUCGCAAAACUCCUCGACUAAGCCGUCGAAAUCGUCUUCUUGGUUUGAUAAUCUGAUUUCUAAUUUUUUUUUUCUUCUUGAAUGUUUCUGAUUUCGCCUUCUAUAGCAGGGAUGGUGUGUAUCGGCGUUGUGCUGCAAAAAUGCACUAUGAAUCCGAAAGAGUUCCCUGCAAUAUAACAUCUGGGGAAGAUGGGCAGUUGUGUUUCAUUCUUAGCCAUUGAAACUUUUCAACAAUCAUCUUCCCCACAUUUUCUUUUCUGCUGUUUGUCAUUUGUUUUGUUUUUUUAUUUUUUAAUUAUUUUUUUUCUAUCCAUAUUAGGAAGAUGAUAUCGAUUAUAUUAUGCAGUUGUUUUACUGAUUGUCAAACUCAAUCUUACAGGUAAACUAAUGAUUUCUGGAUAAUCGUCCUCAUUUGAACUAUUUUAAACCCUAAGACUAAAUUUUUAGCAAAAAUUAUAUUUCAUCGUAUAUGAACUAAUGAUUUCUUGCAAUAUAUAUCUAGUUAUUUUAUUCAAAAAAUAGAAAUUAUUUAAUUAUAAUAAUUGAUAUUUCAAAUAAUAUAAUUUAUAGGUUCUUUUCUGAUAAAAAUUAAUUUUUAUAUUUUAUUUCAUAGUUUUAUAUUUAAUAAAAUAAAAAUUGAUAACUAAAAUAUAAAUAAGUGUUAUUAUAAUCAAAAUAAAUUAAUUUAACCCCAAGUAAAUAUGUGUGUGUAUAUAUAUAGUUGGGGAAAUUAAUCAAAUUUUAAUUUAAUUAAGAUAAUUGAUAAAAAUUUGAAAAAGUUAGCUAAUGUUGAUAACAUGGGAAAAUAUUUAAAAAAAUUGAUAAAAUUCAAAUCAAUGAAAAAUUGAGUUUUCAAUCAUCCUUUGGAUGGGCUCCAAGGCUAAGAACUGCAACUACAGACUUGAAAGGUAAAAGACGGCUGCAAUGACCCACACAACCAGCUUCAGAAAAAUUCAGGCCCACAUUCAAAGCCCAGUGAUACAAAACCCGGAAGAUCCGGGCUCAUAUUUGAGAAACCCUAGUUUUGCCAAGAUGCGAAGCUUUUAAACUGCCGCCGCCUAGUAUGAAGCCGGAGAAGCUUUCCACAGUUGCCGCUGAUUGCCACAACUACAAGCCACUCAUAUAUCAAGUAGGCUAAAGGGUAUAAAGAUUCCAAUGAGAUAAGAUAUCAAUUAUAAAUUCAAUAAAAAUAUUUAAUUUAAUUUUUAUAUAAUAAAUUAUUUGAUAGGCUAGUGUUGCCCAUGGUAUUAGCAACAGCAUUCCUUUUCAUUAUGAUUUAGCAACAUAUAUUUAUAAGAAGAAUUUAUUUGUGUUUAUUAUUAUUAUUAUUAUUCUCUAGGCUGCCAUAUUAAAUCAGCAGAAGGGCUUUGCAUGGGUAUUAGACAGUGACUCUAUCUAGUCAUAGAGCUUAUCCUUUCAUUGCAGGAGCCAGGAGACAUGGUCAAGUAAUUAUAGCUAAGUUUAGAAGAUAAUAUCGAAUCUCAGGAUAAGGCAAAAUCAUUAUUUAUAUAUGUCAAGCUGAGUUGUGAAAAGGACUUUACUCUUUCAUUCACCUCUAACUUCAUGGAUUCUCUAUGCAAUCUACUCCAUGUGUCACUGUUUUUCUCCAUCAAAACACCCAUGUAGCCUCCUUUCUUUUCUUAAACAAAUUUCCCACCAAUCAAAAUUUUAUUUUCCCAAGUCAAAAUCUUAUUAUAUUCUUUAUUAUCAUGGAAACUCUAUGUCCCUAGCUGUGACAGAUUCUUUUUCCUUAAAAGUGACCAACCUAAUCCUUGUAUUUUCCUAUCUUCAUACAUGUGUAGAAUUUGUGCAUAUAAAUUCCCAUCCAAGAAUGUUUUAAGUUUCUAUUUAUGGCCAGUUUCUUCAAGACAAGAACUCUCAUGUUCAUGGGUGAAGGUGAAGAGCAAAAGCUUGAUCAGUGGAUGAUCAUGGAAGCUGAUGAUGAUGAUGAUGAUAUCUAUAACACAUCUUCACUUGAUAAUUCAAGUACUUCUAAUGGAUCCAGUUCUUCAUCAGAUGUGGUAGAUGAUGAUGAUGAUGCAUCUUCACCAAGCUCAACCUUAUCUACAAAUGAUCCUUUGUUUGAAUUCUCUGAGCUCAUGGCCCAUUUACCCAUCAAGUAAGUAUUAUACCCAUAAAAAAAAACUUGAAAAUUCUCUUUAUUGCCAAAUUAAUCCUGCCUUCAUCUAUGUGCAGGAGGGGAUUAUCCAAAUAUUAUCAAGGAAAGUCUCAAUCUUUUACAUCUCUAUCAAGAGUAAUGAGCAUUGAAGACCUUCCAAAGAAGGAGACUCCUUAUAGAAGAAAAAUGAAGGUAUCUAAGAGCUAUGGCAAUGGAUUGGAUGCAUACAAGCCAUAUACACUCCCAAAGGCAAUAAUAUCAAAGAAGGUCUCAAGAGGUUCUCUGUCUUCUUUAUCUUUUCCAGGUAGAAAAGGCAGUUUUCUAAAUAGCAGCAGGCCUCCUCCAGCUCCUCCUCCACAGAAGAAAAUCUGAGUGCAUAAUUCUCAAGUUGCUUGACUUGAUGUAGAUACACAGUCGAUGAACAAAAAUUUUCUCAUUUUCAUCUCUUCUUUUCUUUUCUUUUUUUAUAAAAAAAGGUCACAGCUUUUCUAGAGUUGAAGACUUUUGUAUGCCAUUCAAAGAAGAAUGAUAACCUCACAGUUCAGGUGACAGAGACCAGUAGUGGAACAUGAAAAGGAUAUCCACGUUCUGUUUUAUGAAAUAGUUAAAGCUUUUAAUUAUCAGAAGCUAUGCUUUUUAAAGCUAAGAUUAAAAAAGUCAUCUUAAUCUUUUAUCAAUAAUAAAUCUACUAGCAAAUGGAAUCCACCUUCAUUAUUGGGAAGCAUUAUCAAGAAAGCAAUUACAGACAAUAUUAAAAAGGAGAAAGAAUAGGAUUAGAUAUCAAGAUGAAGUAAAUCAAUUAGUUGAAUUCUUACUAGAAUGAGUUCCUACAUAGCAUUAACAGAAUAUUUAAGUCUACAGUUUAGGAAACGUCAGAAAUCAAUAUUCUAAGACUCUUGAGAGUACAAGAGAAGGAGAAGGCUGCAAAAUGAAACAACAGAGAAAAGCUGUUUCAUAAGAAGCAAGUUCAGUAGAAUAAUCAUGGAGAUGCAAUUGCCCGAUUGCGGAUCCUGCUUGAUCGCCUCAGAGGAGUUAUUGCUUCCUGCUUCAACACAAACAAGAAACAUAUAAAUAUUACUAAAACUUCUAUUCUCCAAACAUUUUAAGUAGCAAAAAGUACAAGGAAAGUUCUUGUCACUUGCCUCUUUCUUUAUAAUUUUCUUCUCAUCAGUAUAUGAAGGCGAAUUAAUGUUUGAGAUAUGUGAUAAAGCUGGAUGCAUACGAACAGGAACUGAAUUAGCCCUGCUGCCUGUCUCCUUCUUCUCCAUGGAAACGGAAUAGCUGCUCACUUCACUCUCUAUCAUUCUGCUUUUCAUGCCACAGCUCCUAAGAGAGCUGCUCAUCUCCCCCACCACUAGCUCACCAAGCAACUCAAUUGUUGGGGAUCGGAUUUCAUAUCUUUGUUUGGAAUCUUCUUCCAAUGAAUUCGUCACGGACCUGGAGUUGGCAAAUGAAACAGGAUGUUGAGUGUGCUCAUCCUUAUCUUCCUCAUUAGCAAGGAGUGAGCAGCAUUUUUCUGCUAUCACAGAGUCGAGACAAGGUUCAACAACAGGAUGAGCGUCCUUUCUUGCAUUUCUAUUCUUUCUAAAGUGAAGAGCCAAUGCCAGGGACGCUGCAAUUGAAGAAAAGAUAGAAAAUCCAACGACAGCUUUCAGAAUUGAUUCCAUUUCCAUGUGUUUGAUAAGCCCCUCCUUCGUAAUCAAAAUUUCAUGGGCAUCAUCAGUGACAUUUCCAAUUCCACCCAUUUCCCCGUUAAAGGUUUCUUCUUUGAUUGGCUCACCCACCAUCUCAUUUUCCUUCUCAGAAGUAUUUGGAACGCUUGAUUCAUUCGUUAGGGGCAUCUGAAUCACUUCAAGAGCUUCCAGUCCCUGCAACCCAGAAUUUGCAGCCAACUGAUCAGAAAUUGCCACUUCAAGGUCACUAGCAUCUGCAAUUUCUCCUGCUUGUACCUUGAAAAUCUUGUCAACUACUUCCUUCUCUCCAUACUCAACAAUCUCCAUAGCCUCACUUUCUCCUCCUUCACUAAACUCAUCUACUGCUCCUUCCUGUUCAUAUUCAACCAUCUCUACUACUUCAUUCAAUCCAUCACUGUCUUCUGUCUCUCCAAAAUUUACAUCUUCAAUCAUCUCUUCUUCCUCAAUUCGAUCUGAAUCAACAGAACUCAUUUGCGUUCCUUCUCUGUCAACCAAGAAUUUUCCAAUCUCAAGACUCUUCACAAAUUCAUAUACAUGAUCUUGUAUCAUGUGAUAUCCAUCCUUGAAACUCCCAACAGCUUGUACAACAGGUGGAGGUGUGGGAGAGUUCAUAGAGGAAAUAUAUGAAGUAGAAAACACCAGAACAGUCAACAAGACCAAAACUUUAAGUAUUCCUCUAAAACCCCAUCCUCUUUCCUCAUAUUCCUCCUCAAAUUCAUCUUCACUUUCAUCCAUCUCUUCAUUUUCUUGCUUCACAUUAGCAUCGUUAGACCCAGUUGCCAAGGAACCACAAGAACUAGCCAAAAUACCUUCACCAUUAAUGCCUUUCUCGGUCUCCAAACAAUCAUUUUCAACAGUUGUUAACCCAUCGCCAUUGCCUUGUUUCGCCUGAUUUUCUCUUUUAAGAAAUAACUCCUGGCGCCUGUUGGGCUUAUAGCGGAGAAAUUUAGGCCUUGGAGAGAGGCAAUUGGUUAAGGGAUCAUAAGGCCUUGAUGAUAAAUCAUCAACAAGAGCCUUUUGCUCUUUUUCAUCAAACUCAGUACUAGAAGUGGUUUUUGAAUCUAGACUUGUGGGCAUUUGGGUGGCUUUUGAAUCAAGAUUUGUUGAGAUUUUCUGGAAAGAGUUGUCUAGAGUCUCAUUCCUUUCCGCCAAGAUUUUCUUUCUUGGGGGAUUGAUUUUUGAAGCUCCAGAUAUUGUUGGUGACAUAUAGUGCUUUGUUGUUGGUUUCUUUGAGCUUUGUACACUUAGCCCCAUUUCUCCAUAGCUUUCCUCAUUUUCAUCUGUGCCUAUACAUUACAAAUUAACUUCCUUAGUGCAAAACACAAUUUCUAUUUCUCAUUUGGUUGCUUGAAAAUUGACAAAAUAAAAAAUAAAAAAACAAACAGAAAAACAAAAGGAAAAGAAACUUUACCUCUGGAGAUUGAAGGAGGCUUAAUUGGAGCCGAUGAUGAGGAAACGUCCUUAUCAAGACCAUCCAUUUCCUUGACUACAGUGAAGUCUAGAGCUCUAAAUGAAACUUUUUUUUUCUUCCCUUUUUUGUUUAUCUUUUGGAGGGAGAGAAGAGUGUGGAUGGAAUGACAAAAGAAAGUGAGUCGAUAAAAUGACCGUUGCGAAGUGAAUCGCGUUGAAAACUAUGCUAUUUAUUUAAAAUUUUAAAAUCCAGUUUUGUUUACCGUUGGAGGGCGUGUGUGUCUAACGGGUAGUUCCUAGAGCCUAUUGUCCAUGAGGCCUGGCCCACCUAUUUAACGUGCAUGCAAUAAGAAAAUGAAAAAACAAAUGGCCCAUGCAGGUCUCGAACCUGCGACCUUCGCGUUAUUAGCACGACGCUCUAACCAACUGAGCUAAUAGGCCGUUGCGUUUUAGCAAGUCUGUAUAAAUCAUUUGUAAGAUUUUUUUCUUUCCUAGACAAAUCUAACAUAUUCUCUACUUUCUAUUAUGUAAUUGUUAAAGUAAAUAUUUAUAGAUUAAUUUAAAUAAAAUUAAUUAAUUUGUAUAAUAUAUAUAAAUAUUUAUGUGUAUUGAAUUUAUUUUUAUUGAACAUAUUGCAAUAAUUUAUCCUUGUGUUUGAAAUUGGAAAAUUGAAAUAUAAAAUUUCAAUUUAAUAAAACAUAUAUUGUAAAUUGUUAUUAUAACAUAAAUUCAUAUAGGAAAAAUAUGAUAAUUAAAAAAUACGGUCUAAUUUAAAAAAAAAAAUUUUGAUCGCCAUAAAACUCAAAGCAUCAUUAAAAACCCGUCCUACUUUUAAAAUGGCGAAUUUUUACACGAAAUUACUAUAAUUAAAUAUUCUCAUUACAUUUAUAAUCGUGAAAUUAUUAAUCUGUUAAUUGAUAAUAUUUUAUAUCAAGCAACCGGCAUAUGAUCGCCAAAUUAUAAAAAAUAUCAUAUUUAUUUUUACUAUUUUAUAAUAUAAAAUAAUAAAAAAUCACAUAAAUAAAAAUAUAUCUUUCUUAAACAACUAUUAAGUUCUAAGAUAUUUACUAUAUUCUCUUUAUUUUUUAAUAUAUUUUGUAGAGUCAGAAUAACUGCCGUGAGUAUUUACCAUCAUUUCACAUUUUUUUCUUUACAGAUAAUAUUAUGUUAAUCACAAUAUAAUUUUAUUUUAAUUAUAUUAUUAAUUUUAUGUACGAAUGUAUAUUAAAAUUAAUAAAUAUGAUAGGAUUCAUAUUUAAAUAUAAAUUUGAAAUGAUUUAUAAAAUAGUGUAAUUUCAAAUAGACUCCAAAUAUCUCUUAAUAAGUGAGGUGAUGCUACUUAAAAAUCCACAAUUCAUUAAAAAAUAAUACAAAAAUUAAAUUUAAAACCUCAAUUUGAAACAUAAAUAUCCAUAUAUAAGUGUAUACGUGUAUUAAAUCCACCAAUAAAACGUUAGAAAUUCCAACACUAAACCUUCCACAAAUGACAUAUAUGUAUGGGUUACCGACACAAGGCCAGAGGUAAUUUUUUAAAAAAUAAACCAUAAUUUAGGCCAUCCCUAAUUUUAUUGCUUCAAGAAUUCCAAUGAUGUCAAUCUCAAAAUACACUAUAAUGAAAUUAAGUAUUGAUUAAUAAAAAAUCAGAGACUAUCAUCUCUUUGAACUGAAAACUCUAUUAUGUUUAGACGUAAUUUAAUAUUUUUUAAGAAUAAAUUAUAAAUAAAACAAUAAGAGUGAAGGAUACAAUACAAGCUUUAUUGUUUUUAAUUAUAUUAAUUAUGAAAAAAAUAAAUAAUGCCUUGGAAUUCUGUACUAAUCUAGGGUUAGUAUUAAAUUAAUUAUUAUAAUAAUAUUACCAUACAGAAUAAUUUAUUUUAUUAAAAAAAAAUAUUUUACUUAUUGCCAUAAUUUCAAAACAUAAAUAAAAACUUGAAACCCAUUUACCCAUCAUCCAUAAAACAUAUCAAGAUCAGAUAAUGGCCUUACUAGAAAUUGUGGUCUAGAAUUCCAUUUUUGGGUUGGUUCUUAAAUCCCAUCAAUGGUCUAACCACUUGUCUCACUUCUUAGAACAGAAGUCAAACCUUUUAAUGGAAAAUUUCAUUGCUUGCAAUUUGCUUUUCUAUUGUUAUUUUAUACCUAAGUUUUUUAUUUUUAAAUAAUUAUAUAAAUAUGAAAAAUAAGAGAAUUGAGAGUAGAGAUUAAAGUUUAAACUUUGGCCUAACAUUUUAAAUUUUGAACAAGUAUCUCUCAGAAAUUCAAGGUGAAGGCUGCCUUGAGUGGCAUGAAGCAACUUCAUGGAAGUUUCAUAAAAGCCCAAGGUUAUAAGUUCUAUUUUUAUUUUUGAAAAAUCCAUAUCUGAUCCUUAAUCUUGGGAAUUAGAUACAUUAAUAAACGGUAAAAGUCCACAUUCAGAGAUUCUGUGCAGAGGAGAUACAAAUUUUGCAAUUCUUGAUUUCAAAUCCAAGCUCAGAAUUGAACAUAACAAGAAAAAAAAAAAAAAAAAAAAGCUUUCAUUUCAUUUUCUAAGUAAUUUACACAGACCAGACUUUGAUCAAUCCUAGCUAUUAACUGUCAACCUUAGUUGAAAAGAAAAGCUUAGGAUGUCUUUGUUUAACAGAACCCAUCAAAGACCUAAACCUUCAUCGGCUUGGGAACAUAAUCUGUGCAUUCUGACACUGCUUAUGCUAUUCCUAGCAGCCAUUAUUUCGUUGAGCGAAAGCUUCUUCUUUGGCCCUGGCUCCGCCCGCUGCUUUGGAGCACUGUGAGACCUCAAUUUGGCCUUGAAGGAUUUUGUGUAGGACAUAUAAUUAGGAAAGUUUGAGUGAGGCCUGAAGAAACUGCCUCCACAAACACUCUUGGCUGGCGUUGCAGGGGCAUUCGACCUGACAGAGUUUGCAAAAUCUUGAUGAUUUUUGUGCAUUCUGUGCAUUCUGACACUGCUUAUGCUAUUCCUAGCAGCCAUUAUUUCGUUGAGCGAAAGCUUCUUCUUUGGCCCUGGCUCCGCCCGCUGCUUUGGAGCACUGUGAGACCUCAAUUUGGCCUUGAAGGAUUUUGUGCUGGACAUAUAAUUAGGAAAGUUUGAGUGAGGCCUGAAGAAACUGCCUCCACAAACACUCUUGGCUGGCGUUGCAGGGGCAUUCGACCUGACAGAGUUUGCAAAAUCUUGAUGAUUUUUGUAAUAUGGUAUGGAGAUUCGAGAUGGAAUUGGACAUGGAAGAGGUGAUGUGUAAGGUACUCCGUCGUCAUAUUCUGAUAAUGCUGCAGCGGCUCUACGAGAUCUUGAUCUGGGUUUGAUUUCAACUAUUUUUGGGCUUUCAUCAAAUUCAUAAGAUGCAAACAGCCUCUCACUGUGGAAUUCACUUUUUGUAUCAUCAAAUUU
This 15023-nucleotide long non-coding RNA is filed under the name Manihot esculenta (cassava). RNAcentral's name for it is "long non-coding RNA (MESC_LNC006366)". The stretch from base 6524 to 6672 matches the Rfam family "small nucleolar RNA snoR135". Lineage: Eukaryota; Viridiplantae; Streptophyta; Magnoliopsida; Malpighiales; Euphorbiaceae. The record is from RNAcentral.